Molecule: non-coding RNA, 173 nt
Filed under: Hyaloperonospora arabidopsidis Emoy2
Lineage: Eukaryota; Oomycota; Peronosporomycetes; Peronosporales; Peronosporaceae
Description: Bacterial large subunit ribosomal RNA
Rfam family: Bacterial large subunit ribosomal RNA
Source: Rfam by way of RNAcentral
AACUAAUCAAGAGUAAGGGAGGUGUUCAAAGGUAAGCUACAAACUGGAUUAAUAAAAUCAAUUGUAGAGUAUAAUGAUAAAAGCUUGCUUGACUGUAAGAUAGACAAAUCAAACAGGGACAAAAGUCGGUCAUAGUGAUCCGAUAAUUCUUUGUCGAAAGGCUAUCGCUCAAC